CCUACGGGUGGCAGCAGUGAGGAAUAUUGGUCAAUGGGCGAGAGCCUGAACCAGACAAGUCGCGUGAAGGAUGACGGCCCUACGGGUUGUAAAAUUCUUUUGGCAGGGAGCAAUUGAGUCCACGUGUGGUCGUAGCGAGAGUACCUGAAGAAAAAGCAUCGGCUAACUCAGUGCAAGCCGCCGCGGUAAUAAGGCGGAUUCGAGUGGUAUCCGGAUUUAUUGGGUUUAAAGGGUGCGUAGGCGGAAGGUUAAGUCAGCGGUCACAUGUCGGUGCUCAAGACCGGCCUGUCGUUGAAACUGGUCUUCUUGAGUGAGCGAGAAGUAUGCGGAAUGCGUGGUGUAGCGGUGAAAUGCAUAGAUAUCACGCAGAACUCCGAUUGCGAAGGCAGCAUACCGGCGCUCAACUGACGCUGAGGCACGAAAGCGUGGGGAUCGAACAGGAUUAGAUACCCCAGUAGUC
This 460-nucleotide ribosomal RNA is filed under the name uncultured bacterium. RNAcentral's name for it is "partial 16S ribosomal RNA". It matches the Rfam family "Bacterial small subunit ribosomal RNA", at positions 338 to 795 of the family's 1533-position model. The record is from RNAcentral.